Antechinus flavipes (yellow-footed antechinus) is the source of this 4610-nucleotide long non-coding RNA. RefSeq lists it as uncharacterized. NCBI's taxonomy places the organism in Eukaryota, Metazoa, Chordata, Mammalia, Dasyuromorphia, Dasyuridae. The transcript has 4 exons. The record is from RefSeq and is a predicted model, not a curated record.
AUUGGAUUCUUAAAGCCAUUACUCUGAUUUUUCUUCCUUGUUGGAAUCCUUACUAACUGCUAACUAAUUAGAGUUGAUCUAAUCUUACAAGAAGAUGUUUUGGGCAGAACCUGAAACAAGGUACUAAGUAGAAGUAAUUAAUACAAGGCUUGUGUUCACACCUUUACUCAUUGGAGUUCAAUGAGAUCACACCUCCCUUGAAGCUCUUUGGGAGCAUAAAUAGAGCUUCAAUGGGCCAGUCAGGGAAGUUCUUCAGAGUGAAAAAGCUACAAGUCGGGAUUUCAGCGGAGUUACGCCAGAAGCCCUCUCUCCGUGGCAAGUUGGUGGCUGGGCUCCCCAGAAGGAGAGAAGAGAGAUCUUCCAUCUCUGUCUUGGUUAGAGGCAGAAGAAAGCAGAGGCAGAGGCUGAAGGACAGAACCUUUGGAUUUGGAGACAUCCGAAGGGCUCUAAGCCUCUAAACUGGCUGUGCUCUGAGAAGAACAAACUCCAACAUUUGAACUCUUAACAUUUGGCGCCCAACUGUAAAAGACAGAACCCCACAUUUGAACUCCCAACAUUUUGGCGCCCAACGUGGGGCUAACAGACCCCCCUCAGUGGAUUUCAGUGGAAAAGCUACGAUCCUGAUUCAAGUGGAAAAGCCUCUGAUCCUGAUCCAGUGGAAAAGACUCUUCAACCCAGAAAUUAGGCAGCUGCCUGUGUAUCCUACUGUAAGUCAUGAUGAAGUAAAUUGGAGCUCUAAAAACAGAUGUACUGAAGUGCUUCAAGAAGAUCACAACCCCAGUCAUCAGGAUCUCCAAAUACUCAAGGGUCACUAUAAAAGGCCAUAGAAUGGGAAUAGAAGACAAGAGGUAGGUUUUGUUUUUAUUUUGGUUGUUGAUAGUUGCUUAUUGAGAAUUGACUGGACAGAGUACAUUCUACAAAAACAUCAGUGUGGUUCACGUAAAAGUUGGCAAUUAUAUGAUUGCCAUAAAGAUAAUGCUAUAAAGAUGUGUCAAAUGUUUUAUAUAUAUAUAUUUCAUUCUUAUUCUUACAACCAAUUUAUGAGGUAUUUUCUUCAAAGGAUCUUAUACCCAUUUCAUAACUGAGUCUCAGAAAGUCUAAAUAAUAUAUAUAUAUAUAUAUAGUUUUAUAUCUAGUAAAAGCAGGGGGCAGGAUAUCAGGACUUUCCAAUAUAUUAGGCAGCUUCUUAAUAAUGACCAAUAAUGUAUAUGAGGAUCUUAUCAAAUUAUGGAUGUACCUAGAAGCCUCAGAUUCUAUACAAGAUUCUAGUCAAGUCCAAUGUAGUAGUAGUGGUGGUAGUAGAAACAGAAGUGGUAGUAGUAAUAGGUGUAACAGCAGCAACAAUAAUAAUCAUCAUCAUGACAACAACAAUUAGCAUUUAUAUAAUGUUUAUUAUGUGUCAGGCCCUGUGCUAAGUGCUCUAAAAAUAUUAUUUUAUUUGAUCCUGACAACAAUCCUGAUGGAAGAUAGGUGCUAUUAUUAUUCCCAUUUUAUAAUUGAGAAAAUAGAGGCAAAUUGCAGUUAAGUGAUUUGCGUAAAUCUGAAGCCAUAUUUAAGCUCAAGUUUUCUUAGUACUGGUACCAAAAAAAAAAAAAAAAAAAAAGGAAAUGGAAUGUGAAAGAAACUGAGAGCUAAUCAAUACUGUGAAAUACAGUUUCAUUGUCCAUGAUUCUAAGUGUUGCAAUAAUCAUUUACCUGAGCAAAAAUAGUGUAUGGUACUUUAUAUGAGAAUGAUGUUUUUGAAAAUAAUUAGUAAGACAUGUGCUUUGAAUUGUUUUUACAAAAGGGGGCUUGAGUUUAUGCAGAUCUUUCCACAUUUCCUGUCCAGGUUCCCUAGUGACCAAUGGUUUUUUUGUUGUUGUUCAAUCAUUUCAGCUGUGUCUGACUCUUCAUGAUCCCCUUUGGACUUUCCUUGCCAAAAGUUACUAGAGUAGCUUGUCAUUUUCUUCUCCAGUUCAUUUCACAUAAGAGGAAACUGAGACAAACAGGGUUAAAUGACUUCCCCAGGAUCACACAGCUAGUAACAUUGGUACAAAAUGUUUGAUUUGACAGUUAGUCGAUGAAUCAACGUGUUUUAAUUCUUCCCUACCUUCACUCUCUCCUGUACAAAGUUAGUCCAGUCCAGGUACUGAAUGUAUAACAUUAGUCUCUAAAAAUGAAAGUUGAAAGUGAUCUCAGAAUUCCAACUUGGCCACCAACUUGCAAUGUGAUGUUAGGUAAGUUCCAUUAGUGGUUUUAAGAUUCAGUUUAUUCUUCUGUUCAAAGAGGAUAAAAAUAUCUGUAUCAACUCCCCUCAGAAAUGUUUUAAGGAUCAAAAGAUCUAUUAAUUGUAAAAAGUCUUUGGAAAGUGUAGAAACAAAGACUUAUAACUUCAAGUAAAGAAAGGACAGUUUGUUUUUCUUUUGGGAAAAUAAAAAUUUGAUGUUUAAAUAUUUAGCUAAUAUCCUUAUUAAUUAUAUUUCAAUCUCCUUAUGAAGAUGGAGUUUUCUAGAUUUCACUUACAUCAGGGUUCACUAGAAAAAAAGGUCAGGGGUUUCCAUAUAAUAUUGUGAUGAACUUCUAUCUUCUUUCUUUUUUUUCCCCUAUCACUUCUCUAGUUGAAGAAAAAAAUAUUGUUCCAGCCUUAAUUUUUCUUUUUUUUCUUUUCUUUUUCUAAAAGUAAUAGUUCCCUAUCUUUAAAACACAUGCAAAGAUAGCCCUCAACACCCACCCCUGCAAAACUAUGUGCUUCAAACUUUUCUUCUCCCUUCCCUGAAUCCCCUCCCCAUGAUAGCAAUUUUAAACAUGUGCAACUCUUCCGUACAUACCCUCACAUCCACCAUACUGUGCAAGAAAAACCAGAUCUAAAAGGAAAAAAAUAUGAGAAAAAACAACGAAAAAAAAAAAAAGAUGAAAAUACUAUACUGUGAUCCACACCCAGUUCCCAUACUUCUUCCCCUGGUCUAAGAUGACUCUUUCUAUCACAAGUCCACUAAAAUUCAGCCUCAAUUUUUUCUAAAGGUAUUCAGGAUCUGUCUUUUAUAUCACUUCAUCCAACUGGGAAAAUAUGGUACAUCCUAUUGUUCUCCAUUUAUGUUCUCUCUAGAGGAGCAACUUUCAUGAAACAUGGCCCUUGUUUUGGCCAGACAUACACAUCAGUGACUACACAAUUACUUUGCUUUUUUCUUACUAGGAUUUCUUUGUCUUCCUAAACUACCCAUCAGGAAACAGAUACUUCAAAUGAUUCUUUGCUCUUCUGAAUCAUUUUGAGUCCCAAUCUCUGCACAUUUUUUGGUGGUUAGUUCCAGCUCCAACAUGGAUGAGUGCAAGGACGUGGGCGUAAUUUUUAAAAGUCUUCCCAGCUGAAGAUCUGUAUGACAAAGAAUAUGCUUUGUGACCUCAUUUUGGAGUCUCUUUUCAGGAGCUAAGUUCAAAGUUUACGGAAGUGAAUACUCCUGUCCACAAAUACAAUUAAUAUCCUGAAAUCUGGAAAAUUCAAUUAAACUUUUUGGGCUUCCCUUUGCAUAGGAAAGAAGUAUGAGUUUUUAAUAGUAUUAUGAGAUAAACUAUGUUGAUAUUACAUAAUACUAUACAAAUAUUUUAUAUAUUUCUGAGUUUUAAAACUUUUUUGUGCUAUGACUUCCACAAAAUUCCCCCCAAAAUCUCAUUUAAUUUUCUAUACUAAUAUGGAUCUUAGGCUUAUGUCAAAACCUUGAUGGGGAAAGUCAAGAUAUGGAAAAGAUAGCUGUAGUUGAGAUUUGGAUAAAGCUGAGUGACUUCCUACUUUUUCUCUAUGGCAUGUCCCCUUAUUUGUAAAAUGAAAGGGUUGCAAUAGAGUCCUAAGUCCAAUUCUGUUCUAUAUCAAUGAUUCUGUACAACCAGUUUUAUUGAGUAGAUUUAGGUGGCUUGAGUCAGUGUUAUGUUAGAAAGAUUGAUAUUCUAAAUUUAGAUUCUAAAUUAGAUUAGCAUUUAUUAGCUUUGCAACUUUGAGCACCUCACUUAAUAAGAAACUAAACUCCAGUUUUCUCAUCUGCAAAAUAACUAUAAUAUUUAUAUCUAUAUUUAUUUGUCUACACAAAUCAAACACAGAAGACUCAUUAAGUUUAUAAACUCAUUGUAAAUAAACAUAUUCUUUGAUAUAUAUGUCUUUUUAAUCAUUCUGUCUCUUCCUGUUUUUUUAUCUUUUUCAAUCAAAAAAUGGCAGUCACUAUGUUGGGCACUGAGUACUGGUAUUGGCACAUAAAUAUAAAGAAUGAAAUGAUCCCUACUUUCAAUCAGAUUAUCUUCUAAAGGAGGAGAUGAGUACAUAUAAAAUAUAUAUGGCAUGAAGUUAAUAAACACAAAUAUAUCUAUACAUAACUAGCAGUUUAAUACAAAGUAGCUUGGGAGGGAGGACAGUAUAAUUUGGAGGAUUCAGGAAAGGUGUUAUGAAGAAAAUGGUGCCUGAGAUGUGCCUUAAAAAAAAGAAAAAAGGAUGCUAUGAGACAGAGAUAGAGAAGGAGUGCAGUCCAGGCAUAAGGGAUGACCAGUACAAAAACAAAAGAGACAGUUUUCUUUGAAAUGUUUUCUUUGCAUUCACCCUGGGAUUGUUAAAAGAGUACAAUGAGACAGUGUCUGUGAAAAUGUUUUGU